Molecule: ribosomal RNA, 581 nt
Filed under: uncultured cyanobacterium
Lineage: Bacteria; Bacillati; Cyanobacteriota
Description: bacterial SSU rRNA
Rfam family: Bacterial small subunit ribosomal RNA
Source: RNAcentral
GAUGAACGCUGGCGGCGUGCUUAACACAUGCAAGUCGAACGGUCUCUUCGGAGAUAGUGGCGGACGGGUGAGUAACGCGUGAGGAUCUGGCCUUAGGACGGGGACAACAGAGGGAAACUUCUGCUAAUACCGGAUGAGCCGAGAGGUAAAACAUUUAUGGCCUAGGGAUGAGCUCGCGUCUGAUUAGCUAGUUGGUGGGGUAAGGGCCUACCAAGGCGACGAUCAGUAGCUGGUCUGAGAGGAUGAUCAGCCACACUGGGACUGAGACACGGCCCAGACUCCUACGGGAGGCAGCAGUGGGGAAUUUUCCGCAAUGGGGGCAACCCUGACGGAGCAACGCCGCGUGCGGGAGGACGGUUUGUGGACUGUAAACCGCUUUUAAUAGGGAAGAAGGUCUGACGGUACCUAUUGAAUAAGCAUCGGCUAACUCCGUGCCAGCAGCCGCGGUAAUACGGAGGAUGCAAGCGUUAUCCGGAAUUAUUGGGCGUAAAGGGUCCGCAGGUGGCUAGUCAAGUCAGCUGUUAAAGGCCGGGGCUUAACUCCGGACGAGCAGUUGAAACUGGAUAGCUAGAGUACGGUAG